CGCUGGCGGCGUGCUUAACACAUGCAAGUCGAACGGAAAGGCCCUGCUUUUGUGGGGUGCUCGAGUGGCGAACGGGUGAGUAACACGUGAGUAACCUGCCCUUGACUUUGGGAUAACUUCAGGAAACUGGGGCUAAUACCGGAUAGGAGCUCCUGCUGCAUGGUGGGGGUUGGAAAGUUUCGGCGGUUGGGGAUGGACUCGCGGCUUAUCAGCUUGUUGGUGGGGUAGUGGCUUACCAAGGCUUUGACGGGUAGCCGGCCUGAGAGGGUGACCGGCCACAUUGGGACUGAGAUACGGCCCAGACUCCUACGGGAGGCAGCAGUGGGGAAUAUUGCACAAUGGGCGGAAGCCUGAUGCAGCAACGCCGCGUGCGGGAUGACGGCCUUCGGGUUGUAAACCGCUUUCGCCUGUGACGAAGCGUGAGUGACGGUAAUGGGUAAAGAAGCACCGGCUAACUACGUGCCAGCAGCCGCGGUGAUACGUAGGGUGCGAGCGUUGUCCGGAUUUAUUGGGCGUAAAGGGCUCGUAGGUGGUUGAUCGCGUCGGAAGUGUAAUCUUGGGGCUUAACCCUGAGCGUGCUUUCGAUACGGGUUGACUUGAGGAAGGUAGGGGAGAAUGGAAUUCCUGGUGGAGCGGUGGAAUGCGCAGAUAUCAGGAGGAACACCAGUGGCGAAGGCGGUUCUCUGGGCCUUUCCUGACGCUGAGGAGCGAAAGCGUGGGGAGCGAACAGGCUUAGAUACCCUGGUAGUCCACGCUGUAAACGGUGGGUACUAGGUGUGGGGUCCAUUCCACGGGUUCCGUGCCGUAGCUAACGCUUUAAGUACCCCGCCUGGGGAGUACGGCCGCAAGGCUAAAACUCAAAGGAAUUGACGAGGCCCCGCACAAGCGGCGGAGCAUGCGGAUUAAUUCGAUGCAACGCGUAGAACCUUACCUGGGUUUGACAUGGAUCGGGAGUGCUCAGAGAUGGGUGUGCCUCUUUUGGGGUCGGUUCACAGGUGGUGCAUGGCUGUCGUCAGCUCGUGUCGUGAGAUGUUGGGUUAAGUCCCGCAACGAGCGCAACCCUUGUUCACUGUUGCCAGCACGUUAUGGUGGGGACUCAGUGGAGACCGCCGGGGUCAACUCGGAGGAAGGUGGGGAUGACGUCAAGUCAUCAUGCCCCUUAUGUCCAGGGCUUCACGCAUGCUACAAUGGCUGGUACAGAGAGUGGCGAGCCUGUGAGGGUGAGCGAAUCUCGGAAAGCCGGUCUCAGUUCGGAUUGGGGUCUGCAACUCGACCUCAUGAAGUCGGAGUCGCUAGUAAUCGCAGAUCAGCAACGCUGCGGUGAAUACGUUCCCGGGGCUUGUACACACCACCCGUCAAGUCAUGAAAGUUGGUAACACCCGAAGCCGGUGGCCUAACCGUUGUGGGGGAGCCGUCGAAGGUGGGACUGGUGAUUAGGAC
RNAcentral lists this ribosomal RNA (1440 nucleotides) under uncultured organism. Its description in RNAcentral is "partial small subunit ribosomal RNA". It matches the Rfam family "Bacterial small subunit ribosomal RNA". The record is from RNAcentral.